Non-coding RNA from Podarcis lilfordi (Lilford's wall lizard), 71 nucleotides. The record is from the annotation of a GenBank genome assembly. NCBI's taxonomy places the organism in Eukaryota, Metazoa, Chordata, Lepidosauria, Squamata, Lacertidae.
GGAGCGUAGCUCAGUGGUAGAGCAUCUGCCUUGAAAGCAGAACGUCCCGGGUUCGAUCCCCAGCAUCUCCU